AGUGAACGCUGGCGGCAGGCCUAAUACAUGCAAGUCGAACGGCAGCAUAGCAGAGCUUGCUCUGUGGGUGGCGAGUGGCGGACGGGUGAGGAAUACGUGGGAAUCUGCCCAGUCGUGGGGAUAACGUAGGGAAACUUACGCUAAUACCGCAUGCGCCCUUCGGGGAAAGCCGGGGACCUUCGGGCCUGGCGCGAUUGGAUGAGCCCACGUCGGAUUAGCUAGUUGGCGGGUAAAGGCCCACCAAGGCGACGAUCCGUAGCUGGUCUGAGAGGAUGAUCAGCCACACUGGAACUGAGACACGGUCCAGACUCCUACGGGAGGCAGCAGUAGGGAAUAUUGGACAAUGGGCGCAAGCCUGAUCCAGCCAUGCCGCGUGAGUGAAGAAGGCCCUCGGGUUGUAAAGCUCUUUUGUCCGGAAAGAAAAGCGCCGGGUUAAUACCCUGGUGUCCUGACGGUACCGGAAGAAUAAGCACCGGCUAACUUCGUGCCAGCAGCCGCGGUAAU
This 504-nucleotide ribosomal RNA is filed under the name uncultured bacterium. RNAcentral's name for it is "bacterial SSU rRNA". It matches the Rfam family "Bacterial small subunit ribosomal RNA", at positions 29 to 524 of the family's 1533-position model. The record is from RNAcentral.